CCUACAUUUGGCAGCUACAGACAACCUGGUGACAACAGGACUGGAUAUCCUGCUAGGCCUAGGUCUGAGAGGUGGGUGCCAACUCUGCGUCCUUUGGUCACCAAUGGUAGUUAAAAAUAUCUGUAGAUUUAGGAUCGGCUGAUAAGCCAACUUAAAAACAACUAGGUGAGUACAUGGCAAUUAUUAAAUUAGGAAAGUGAAUGCAUGAGGACCAGCAGUUCAAGUCCUCUUUGGCUACUCAGUGGCCUUGAGGCCAGCCUGUACUACAGAAGACCCUGUCUCACCAAAACAAAAAGCAAAAGCAAAGAGCAGAAGAGCAAGGACUGCUUUGGUUUUGUACAUAUUCAAGGUUCUCAAUGUUAUAAAACGACAUUUGCUGUGAGAUACAGCUGAUGGACUCAAGCUUGUGUGACAUCAACAAUUGAGUUGACAGGGCUGUCAUCAGCCUUUUCCUUGUUCUUGAAGCAAAGCUACUGUUGCCUCCCAUCAGAAUUCUAACAUGAAGUAAUAAAAUGUCCAGUGACUGAUUUUGGAGUUCAUAUUUCAAGCUGAACAUCAGGGAAAAAAGAGCAGGUUGCCACCAGCUUCUCACCUCUUCAUCAGGCUGAAUGGACUGAUCCUGUCUCCAUGAGCUCUCACCAAGCCUCUGACUUGUUAGUGGGGCUGAAGAAUGAAUGCCUCAUAUUGACUACAUGUUCCUGUCUUUUAUACACCUCUAGGUCUGGGAUUAAAUGUGUGAGCUAUAAUUCCCUUUUAGAUUGAUUCAAUCUUGUGUAGAUCUGGGUGGCCUUGAAAUCUCUGAGAUCCUUCUACCUCUUAAUCCCGAGGCCCAUUAUUAAGAUUGUGUUCCAGCACCUCCUAGCUUCUGGCUGCUGGGAUUGAAGGUGUAUAUGACCACUGCGUGAUCUGUAUAGCUUGAUGCUGAUUUUGCUUUCUGAGUCCUCAGUCAAGCGUUAAUAAAUCCUAAACACAGAAGUCAUCUGUUUAACACAUUAAAUGGACCUCACAGGACCUACCCAGAACCAGCCAUGAAAUAUAAACCACAGAAACUGGACAGCCUUUACAACAGGUGGAAUCAUUUGAAGCAUAACAGGCUCCAGAUGUUGUCCUUCACUGGUCUAUGGACGAUGUAUAUCUGCUGCUGUGAUAAAACCUCAUGACCAAAAGCAAUUUUAGGGAGAUUUAGGACACUUUCACUUCCCAAAUAUAAGCUACCAGAAGUGGAGUGCUGCUAUUAGAGGU
RNAcentral lists this long non-coding RNA (1242 nucleotides) under Cricetulus griseus (Chinese hamster). RNAcentral's name for it is "lncRNA (ENSCGRG00015043408.1)". The record is from RNAcentral. Lineage: Eukaryota; Metazoa; Chordata; Mammalia; Rodentia; Cricetidae.